CCGCAGCGGGAAAGGCCCGCCAGGCCCCGGCCGCGCCUCCCGCCCACCAGCUAUCGCGAGACUGACCGCGCCGGGGCCUGCGCGCCGGAACCGGAAGGAGCGCGGCCGACCACGCGGGGGGAGGGGGGCUUAGUGCGCGUGCGCAGCGGGCCUCCGCCGCGUUUCCGGCCGGCGACCAAAGCGAGCGGCGGGCGGAAGGAAGGAAGGAAGGAAGGAAGGAAGCGGCUUCCCGAAGGCGGGGUCUGAAAAGCCAGUCUAUCUCAGGAGGUCCACUGGUUCACUUUAUAAAGAUUUCUUACUGAUCAUGGAGGCUGGAGAAUUUUCUUCAAGGUGACCCUUUCCACCCGUGACUCAUGCCUUCAGUGACAAGAUGAACGCCUCUGGGAGACUGGGGAAAAGGGGGACUUUUCCCUCAAAACUUCUAGAGCUUCAGAUUGUCAAGGGACUCAUGGUCACAAACUUCCUGGACAGUGAACAUAACCUAAGGCUGCUGCUAACUCAGGAUAGAGAAGUUUUUCUGAGGCUUUUCUUUCUGCGUUGCCUGCACCUAAUCAGCUCCCCUAUAUAUUUUCAAAUAACCUCUGAAAAUACACUCUCUGUAUCUUUCCCAACAAACCCCAUAAUUCCUUAUUCUGUUUUCCUGAAUAAUUACUUUCAAACGUUUUUCCAUGUCUUAAGAGUGCACAGUGAAUGA
Molecule: long non-coding RNA, 694 nt
Filed under: Vulpes vulpes (red fox)
Lineage: Eukaryota; Metazoa; Chordata; Mammalia; Carnivora; Canidae
Description: lncRNA (ENSVVUG00000030335.1)
Source: RNAcentral